GACGAACGCUGGCGGCGUGCCUAAUACAUGCAAGUAGAACGCUGAAGGAGGAGCUUGCUUCUCUGGAUGAGUUGCGAACGGGUGAGUAACGCGUAGGUAACCUGCCUGGUUGCGGGGGAUAACUAUUGGAAACGAUAGCUAAUACCGCAUAAUAGUAGAUGUUGCAUGACAUUUGCUUAAAAGGUGCAAUUUCAUCACUACCAGAUGGACCUGCGUUGUAGUAGUUAGUUGGUGGGGUAAUGGCUCACCAAAGCGACGAUACAUAGCCGACCUGGGAGGGGGAGCGGCCACACUGGGACUGAGACACGGCCCAGACUCUCCCGGGAGGGAGCAGUAGGGGAUAUUCGGCAAUGGACGGAAGUGUGACAGAGCAAAGCGGCGUGAGUGAAGAAGGGUUUCGGAUCGUAAAGCUCUGUUGUAAGAGAAGAAAGAGAGUGAGAGUGGAAAGUUCACACUGUGACGGUAACUUACCAGAAAGGGAAGGCUAACUACGUG
This 495-nucleotide ribosomal RNA is filed under the name uncultured bacterium. RNAcentral describes it as "partial 16S ribosomal RNA". It matches the Rfam family "Bacterial small subunit ribosomal RNA", at positions 28 to 507 of the family's 1533-position model. The record is from RNAcentral.